UACGUAGGGUGCAAGCGUUGUCCGGAAUUAUUGGGCGUAAAGAGCUCGUAGGCGGUUUGUCGCGUCUGCUGUGAAAACCCGAGGCUCAACCUCGGGCCUGCAGUGGGUACGGGCAGACUAGAGUGCGGUAGGGGAGAUUGGAAUUCCUGGUGUAGCGGUGGAAUGCGCAGAUAUCAGGAGGAACACCUAUAGCGAAGGCAGCUUGCUGGGACGUUACUGACGCUAAGGCGCGAAAGCGUGGGGAGCGAACAGG
RNAcentral lists this ribosomal RNA (253 nucleotides) under uncultured bacterium. RNAcentral's name for it is "partial 16S ribosomal RNA". It matches the Rfam family "Bacterial small subunit ribosomal RNA", at positions 524 to 776 of the family's 1533-position model. The record is from RNAcentral.